Molecule: ribosomal RNA, 493 nt
Filed under: uncultured bacterium
Lineage: Bacteria
Description: partial 16S ribosomal RNA
Rfam family: Bacterial small subunit ribosomal RNA
Source: RNAcentral
AUUGAACGCUGGCGGCAUGCUUUACACAUGCAAGUCGAAAGGUAACAGGUUAAGCUGACGAGUGGCGAACGGGUGAGUAAUGUAUCGGACCGUGCAGAGUCGUGGGGGAUAACGUAGCGAAAGCUACGCUAAUAGCGCAUACGAUCUCUGGAUGAAAGCGGGAGACAGCAAGGCACCGCGCGAUGGGAGCGGCAGAUAUCAGAUUAGGUAGUUGCUGGGGUAAAGGCCCACCAAGCCAACGAUCUGUUGCUGGUCUGAGAGGACGACCAGCCACACUCGGACUUAGACACGGCCCAUACUCCUACGGGAGGCAGCAGUGGGGAAUUUUGGACAAUGGGGGCAACCCUGAUCCAGCAAUGCCGCGUUCAGGAAGAAGGCCUUCGGGUUGUAAACUGCUUUUGUACGGAACGAAAAGGCUCUGGUUAAUACCUGGGGCUCAUGACGGUACCGUAAGAAUAAGCACCGGCUAACUACGUGCCAGCCGCCGCCGUAA